ACGCUGGCGGCGUGCUUAACACAUGCAAGUCGAACGAUGAAGCCUAGCUUGCUAGGUGGAUUAGUGGCGAACGGGUGAGUAAUACGUGAGUAACCUACCUUUAACUCUGGGAUAAGCCUGGGAAACUGGGUCUAAUACCGGAUACGACCAAUCUCCGCAUGGGGUGUUGGUGGAAAGCGUUAUGUAGUGGUUAUAGAUGGGCUCACGGCCUAUCAGCUUGUUGGUGAGGUAACGGCUCACCAAGGCGACGACGGGUAGCCGGCCUGAGAGGGUGACCGGCCACACUGGGACUGAGACACGGCCCAGACUCCUACGGGAGGCAGCAGUGGGGAAUAUUGCACAAUGGGCGCAAGCCUGAUGCAGCGACGCCGCGUGAGGGAUGACGGCCUUCGGGUUGUAAACCUCUGUUAGCAGGGAAGAAGAGAGAUUGACGGUACCUGCAGAGAAAGCGCCGGCUAACUACGUGCCAGCAGCCGCGUAAUACGUAGGGCGCGAGCGUUGUCCGGAAUUAUUGGGCGUAAAGAGCUUGUAGGCGGUUUGUCGCGUCUGCUGUGAAAGGCCGGAGCUUAACUCCGUGUAUUGCAGUGGGUACGGGCAGACUAGAGUGCAGUAGGGGAGACUGGAAUUCCUGGUGUAGCGGUGGAAUGCGCAGAUAUCAGGAGGAACACCGAUGGCGAAGGCAGGUCUCUGGGCUGUAACUGACGCUGAGAAGCGAAAGCAUGGGGAGCGAACAGGAUUAGAUACCCUGGUAGUCCAUGCCGUAAACGUUGGGCACUAGGUGUGGGGGACAUUCCACGUUUUCCGCGCCGUAGCUAACGCAUUAAGUGCCCCGCCUGGGGAGUACGGCCGCAAGGCUAAAACUCAAAGAAAUUGACGGGGGCCCGCACAAGCGGCGGAGCAUGCGGA
This 906-nucleotide ribosomal RNA is filed under the name uncultured bacterium. Its description in RNAcentral is "bacterial SSU rRNA". It matches the Rfam family "Bacterial small subunit ribosomal RNA", at positions 33 to 945 of the family's 1533-position model. The record is from RNAcentral.